This 116-nucleotide small RNA is filed under the name Marmota monax (woodchuck). Lineage: Eukaryota; Metazoa; Chordata; Mammalia; Rodentia; Sciuridae. The record is from RNAcentral.
GCCGGGUGUGGUGCUGCCCGCCUGUGGUCCCAGCUACUCUGGAGGCUAGGGAGGGAGGAUUAUUUGAGUCCAGGAGUUUAGGGUCAACCUGGGCAAUACAGCCAGACCAUGCCUCU